RNAcentral lists this transfer RNA (64 nucleotides) under Chloracris brunneri. RNAcentral describes it as "tRNA-Tyr". Lineage: Eukaryota; Metazoa; Arthropoda; Insecta; Orthoptera; Tettigoniidae. The record is from RNAcentral.
GGUAGGAUGGCUGAGUAUAGGCGGUAAACUGUAAAUUUAUUAAGGGGAAAUAUCUCUCCUAUCA